UAAUACGUAGGUGGCAAGCGUUGUCCGGAUUUAUUGGGCGUAAAGCGCGCGCAGGCGGUCCUUUAAGUCUGAUGUGAAAUCUUGCGGCUCAACCGCAAGCGGUCAUUGGAAACUGGGGGACUUGAGUGCAGAAGAGGAAAGCGGAAUUCCACGUGUAGCGGUGAAAUGCGUAGAGAUGUGGAGGAACACCAGUGGCGAAGGCGGCUUUCUGGUCUGUAACUGACGCUGAGGCGCGAAAGCGUGGGGAGCAAACAGGAUUAGAUACCCUGGUAGUCCACGCCGUAAACGAUGAGUGCUAAGUGUUGGAGGGUUUCCGCCUUUCAGUGCUGUAGCUAACGCAUUAAGCACUCCGCCUGGGGAGUACGGUCGCAAGACUGAA
RNAcentral lists this ribosomal RNA (379 nucleotides) under uncultured bacterium. RNAcentral's name for it is "bacterial SSU rRNA". It matches the Rfam family "Bacterial small subunit ribosomal RNA", at positions 521 to 898 of the family's 1533-position model. The record is from RNAcentral.